GGGACACAAACAAGCCUUCAGGACUGUCUCUAGGACCUGUCCCUCCAUCGCAGGACAGAGAUUUGCUUGUUGGGACAGAAAAAGAUUUCACCCAGUCUCGUCCAAAAGAAAUUUGAAUUUUAUGACAUGAAAUUUAUGAAAAUGUAUUUUGUGAGCUUGAAAUGACAUAAUUUAAUACAUGUAAUAACAACAGAAAUUAGUAACAUGCAGUCUCAAAUAAUGAGUGAGACAGAAAAAAAUGUUAAGCUGGAGACAGUCCUAUGAUACAUAGUGAAUAUCGUGAAUGAAUCUUUGGGAAAAAAUAUAUUAGAAGGCUAGGUGUCUUGGAGAGAAAGAGUAGCCAGACUACAUGGUGAAUCAGAAUGCUAACAUAAAGGUACAUGUAGUUGAAGUUCUUGUGUCACUUUUGUAAGUUUCUAAGAGUUAAUGUCAUUUCUCUGUGACAGAGCAGAAAAAUUCAUCUUCGUGCAAAGAGAAUCUGUUAGAUUAGAGUAGGUAACAUUAAUCAGGCAUAAGACUAGAUGUCAUACAUGUCUCACUGGUACUUUUAUCAGACUGUUUUCUACUAGUUAAGUGCAACAAUGGCAAUAUACUGAUGAAGUGUAGAGAUGCAAUACAUGCUAGGUUUAUCUUCUUCGAGUUGAUCAGUGUUCUACCCAACUCUCUAUCUUGUUCUGUCAUAAUUUAAGCUCAACUCCAACAUUUGCCUUUCGUGGCAGAAUGUCAACUUUUGUCAAAAGUUAAGAAACAACCAAACUUUUGUCAGACAACAGAAUAAGGGGUGGUGGUGAGAACCUUGACAUGUGCUCUUUGUUAAAGGCUUGCAGUGUGUAUGAUGCGUGCAGUUCAAUACUCAAAUCAUCUAAUAAGUAAUGCACCCUCCUUUUGUCAUUAAUCACUGAUGCUUCACUUCAUUGACAAAACUCACAAAAAGAAACAACCAAUUUGAUGUGGCCUUAGAAAUAACGUUCCGAAAAGUUGAGAGUUGUGGCAAAGAGAUUGUGAGUCAACUCUUGAACCAAAGGGCUCUGCUUGCUUGCGUAAGGUAACUGCUGAACCAACAAAGUGUGUCAGAUGUUUGUCUUAAGGCCUGUAGAUGCUCUGAUAAGAUGCUGUUGAUAUUACGUCAUGUGAGGUGUACGUUCUUGUCAAUACUACUGUCAAAGUACAUGUACAGUCAUGUUCCAGAAUUAGAUAUACUUGUACAGUAAGAAAGUAAGCAAGAAUGUUUGUUUCAACCUUGUGAAAGAUGUUUGAUUAAAACACUGACCAGAACUGGCCAUUCCGUGAGUUUUGUGUGGUUAUUCAUUAGCGUUCAGUCCGGGAGGCUUAUUCAGUGCUUAGCUACAUGUGUGUUUGCCAAAGCAAACACCUAUGCCGGGGUUGUUAAUUAUUACUGUAACAUUUUCGGGGCAACUUCCUUGUUGGAGCACGUAGCAGGUCAUUUCAUCGGCUGACACCAUAAGGAAAAGAAGUUACCAGGACUGUUUCUUAAGAAAAGCAGUAGACACGUCGGCUGAGCGACAACUGCCGGGAUUCGAACCCUCCAACUUCUGAUCCAGAAGUACUGGAUUGCUGAGCUACAGGUCCGAGCCCACGUACCUGAACAUUUGCACUGACCAAUUUAGGACCGACUGAGCUGUGUGAGAAGCAACCUGCAGUAGGAAUAUUCCCUAUACAGCUCAUUGCUUUUAGACAACACCAAGAACACCCGAUGAUCAGCAUGGCUGGGCCUAGGAUGAUGUUUCUGACAGGCGUCAAUCUUCUUGCCUUCCUCCACCUGUGUCAGG
This is a long non-coding RNA of Branchiostoma floridae (Florida lancelet), 1790 nucleotides long. RefSeq lists it as uncharacterized. The transcript has 3 exons. The record is from RefSeq and is a predicted model, not a curated record. Lineage: Eukaryota; Metazoa; Chordata; Leptocardii; Amphioxiformes; Branchiostomatidae.